AUUGAACGCUGGCGGCAUGCCUUACACAUGCAAGUCGAACGGCAGCACGGGUGCUUGCACCUGGUGGCGAGUGGCGAACGGGUGAGUAAUACAUCGGAACAUGUCCUGUAGUGGGGGAUAGCCCGGCGAAAGCCGGAUUAAUACCGCAUACGAUCUACGGAUGAAAGCGGGGGACCUUCGGGCCUCGCGCUAUAGGGUUGGCCGAUGGCUGAUUAGCUAGUUGGUGGGGUAAAGGCCUACCAAGGCGACGAUCAGUAGCUGGUCUGAGAGGACGACCAGCCAAGCGGGAACGGAAACACGCCCAAGACUCCGAGGGGAGGCGGAGGGGGGAAUUUUGGAAAAAGGGGCAAAGCCCUGACCCAGAAAGGCGCGUGUUUAGAAGAGGCCCUUGGGUUUGAAAAGAAUUUUGGCCCGAAAAAAAAUCCUGGCCCCAAAUGCGGUCGGGGGAUGAGGGUCCCGAAAAAAAAACCCCCGGCUAACUAGGUG
This 486-nucleotide ribosomal RNA is filed under the name uncultured bacterium. RNAcentral describes it as "partial 16S ribosomal RNA". It matches the Rfam family "Bacterial small subunit ribosomal RNA", at positions 29 to 507 of the family's 1533-position model. The record is from RNAcentral.